CUGCAAAUAUUCUCACAUUCUGAUUUUGUAAUAGUUAGGACAAGCUAAACAUUUUGCUAUAUAAAAAUCAUACACAUGUCCACAGACCUAAUAGUUCUUUCCCCAGGUUUGGUUUUAUAAAUGCUGGUGAUAACC
Otolemur garnettii (small-eared galago) is the source of this 135-nucleotide small nucleolar RNA. Its record names the gene SNORA72. It matches the Rfam family "Small nucleolar RNA SNORA72". Rfam says of the family: U72 is a member of the H/ACA class of snoRNAs. The snoRNA gene is located in intron 4 of the ribosomal L30 protein gene in human, mouse and chicken. NCBI's taxonomy places the organism in Eukaryota, Metazoa, Chordata, Mammalia, Primates, Galagidae. The record is from Ensembl.